This 400-nucleotide ribosomal RNA is filed under the name uncultured bacterium. Its description in RNAcentral is "bacterial SSU rRNA". It matches the Rfam family "Bacterial small subunit ribosomal RNA", at positions 355 to 748 of the family's 1533-position model. The record is from RNAcentral.
UCGAGAAUCUUCCGCAAUGGGCGCAAGCCUGACGGAGCGACGCCGCGUGUAGGACGAAGGCCUUCGGGUUGUAAACUACUGUCACGGAUUAAGAAUUCUGCGGUGUUAACAGCGCCGUAGUUGACGUAAGUCCGAGAGGAAGCACUGGCUAACUCUGUGCCAGCAGCCGCGGUAAUACAGAGAGUGCAAACGUUGUUCGGAAUUACUGGGCUUAAAGCGCACGUAGGCGGCCUUGCAAGUGUCGGGUGAAAUCCCACGGCUUACCCGUGGAACUGCCCGGCAGACUGCAGGGCUCGAGUAUGGUAGGGGAGAGCGGAACUCCUGGUGGAGCGGUGAAAUGCGUAGAUAUCAGGAGGAACACCGGUGGCGAAGGCGGCUCUCUGGUCCAUAACUGACGCUG